This 207-nucleotide ribosomal RNA is filed under the name uncultured bacterium. Its description in RNAcentral is "partial 16S ribosomal RNA". It matches the Rfam family "Bacterial small subunit ribosomal RNA", at positions 568 to 774 of the family's 1533-position model. The record is from RNAcentral.
AGCGCAGACGGUUAUUUAAGCAAGAUGUGAAAGCCCCGGGCUCAACCUGGGAACUGCGUUUUGAACUGGGUAACUAGAGUGUGUCAGAGGGGGGUAGAAUUCCACGUGUAGCAGUGAAAUGCGUAGAGAUGUGGAGGAAUACCGAUGGCGAGGGCAGCCCCCUGGGAUAACACUGACGUUCAUGCUCGAAAGCGUGGGUAGCAAACA